Molecule: unclassified non-coding RNA, 881 nt
Filed under: uncultured bacterium
Lineage: Bacteria
Description: partial contains 16S ribosomal RNA, 16S-23S ribosomal RNA intergenic spacer, and 23S ribosomal RNA
Rfam family: Bacterial large subunit ribosomal RNA (bases 747-881)
Source: RNAcentral
CGCUUUGCGGCUGGAUCCCCUCCUUUCUAAGGAACGCUCGCGGAACGAUUGCUGAUAUUUGCUGUUCGGUUUUACCGGAUGUUUGGAUAUUGGCCGGUGUUUCAAGCGAAUUGGUUGGGUCACCAACCGCCUAUCCCUUCUUUUUGAUCGUCCAGGGUUUGGAUGUUUGCCGUAUUGCCGCUGGCUUUAUUGCCGCUGGCUUUGUGGGUGAAUGGUCCGGGUUUCUGGCAGGGCGCGUAGCUCAGUUGGUUAGAGCGCACCCCUGAUAAGGGUGAGGUCGGAAGUUCAAAUCUUCCCGCGCCCACCAUUUUAUAGGGGGCGUAGCUCAGUUGGGAGAGCGCUAGCUUUGCAAGCUUGAGGUCGUCGGUUCGAUCCCGUCCGCCUCCACCAUUUGCUUUGGUGGGGUUAUCGAUCAGGAAGAAGUUUUAGGAAUUGCCGCAUUUGCGUUUAUCGCGUUUGCGGUGUUCGUUGGCGUCUCAGGCGCUUUCGAUAAAGUUGUAUGACAGUUUUGGUUGUAACGUGUAACGCGGUUCGGUUCUGACCGUUUGUCCGUUGUUUGACCGGCCCCCUGGCCGGUUUGACGGGCAAGCUUUCCGAGCUGCGUAGCAUAUGACGCUGAGUUAUCGAGAUUUGCUGUGAAGGCAGGUGAUCUUGAUUGUUUGGCCGUAAACUGGUGUUUCAUCUUGAUGAUGUUUCAUCUUACGGCUGGCCGAUCUUGGACAUCUGUUUUCUGGUGGAUUUUGAUGGUUCAAGUGCCAAAGGGCAUUUGGUGGAUGCCUUGGCGAAUGACGGCGAUGAAGGACGUGGCACGCUGCGAUAAGCUGCGGGGAGGGGCGAGCACCCUUUGAUCCGCAGAUUUCCGAAUGGGGAAACCCGGAAGC